AAAUUGAAGAGUUUGAUCAUGGCUCAGAUUGAACGCUGGCGGCAGGCCUAACACAUGCAAGUCGAACGGUAACAGGAAGCAGCUUGCUGCUUUGCUGACGAGUGGCGGACGGGUGAGUAAUGUCUGGGAAACUGCCUGAUGGAGGGGGAUAACUACUGGAAACGGUGGCUAAUACCGCAUAACGUCGCAAGACCAAAGAGGGGGACCUUCGGGCCUCUUGCCAUCAGAUGUGCCCAGAUGGGAUUAGCUUGUUGGUGAGGUAACGGCUCACCAAGGCGACGAUCCCUAGCUGGUCUGAGAGGAUGACUAGCCACACUGGAACUGAGACACGGUCCAGACUCCUACGGGAGGCAGCAGUGGGGAAUAUUGCACAAUGGGCGCAAGCCUGA
Molecule: ribosomal RNA, 389 nt
Filed under: Salmonella enterica
Lineage: Bacteria; Pseudomonadati; Pseudomonadota; Gammaproteobacteria; Enterobacterales; Enterobacteriaceae
Also listed under: 1 other name
Description: bacterial SSU rRNA
Rfam family: Bacterial small subunit ribosomal RNA
Source: RNAcentral